This 253-nucleotide ribosomal RNA is filed under the name uncultured bacterium. Its description in RNAcentral is "partial 16S ribosomal RNA". It matches the Rfam family "Bacterial small subunit ribosomal RNA", at positions 524 to 776 of the family's 1533-position model. The record is from RNAcentral.
UACGGAGGGUGCAAGCGUUGUCCGGAAUCACUGGGCGUAAAGGGCGCGUAGGCGGCUCGGUAAGUAGGGGGUGAAAUCCUGCGGCUUAACCGCAGGGCUGCCUUCUAAACUGUCGAGCUUGAGCACGGUAGAGGCAGAUGGAAUUCCCGGUGUAGCGGUGGAAUGCGUAGAGAUCGGAAGGAACAUCAGUGGCGAAGGCGACUGUCUGGACAGAUAUUGACGCUGAGGCGCGAAAGCGUGGGGAGCAAACAGG